This 429-nucleotide ribosomal RNA is filed under the name bacterium. RNAcentral describes it as "partial 16S ribosomal RNA". It matches the Rfam family "Bacterial small subunit ribosomal RNA", at positions 355 to 776 of the family's 1533-position model. The record is from RNAcentral.
UAGGGAAUCUUCCACAAUGGACGCAAGUCUGAUGGAGCAACGCCGCGUGAGUGAAGAAGGUUUUCGGAUCGUAAAGCUCUGUUGUGGGUGAAGAAGGAUAGAGGCAGUAACUGGUCUUUAUUUGACGGUAAUCAACCAGAAAGUCACGGAUAACUACGUGCCAGCAGCCGCGGUAAUACGUAGGUGGCAAGCGUUGUCCGGAUUUAGUGGGCGUAAAGCGAGCGCAGGCGGAAUGAUAAGUCUGAUGUGAAAGCCCACGGCUCAACCGUGGAACUGCAUCGGAAACUGUCAUUCUUGAGUGCAGAAGAGGAGAGUGGAAUUCCAUGUGUAGCGGUGGAAUGCGUAGAUAUAUGGAAGAACACCAGUGGCGAAGGCGGCUCUCUGGUCUGCAACUGACGCUGAGGCUCGAAAGCAUGGGUAGCGAACAGG